RNAcentral lists this microRNA precursor (126 nucleotides) under Glycine max (soybean). Its description in RNAcentral is "miR396b stem-loop (gma-MIR396b)". Its record names the gene gma-MIR396b. The stretch from base 11 to 118 matches the Rfam family "MIR396 microRNA precursor family". Lineage: Eukaryota; Viridiplantae; Streptophyta; Magnoliopsida; Fabales; Fabaceae. The record is from miRBase by way of RNAcentral.
CUCAAGUCCUGGUCAUGCUUUUCCACAGCUUUCUUGAACUUCUUAUGCAUCUUAUAUCUCUCCACCUCCAGGAUUUUAAGCCCUAGAAGCUCAAGAAAGCUGUGGGAGAAUAUGGCAAUUCAGGCU